Astatotilapia calliptera (eastern happy) is the source of this 3084-nucleotide long non-coding RNA. NCBI's taxonomy places the organism in Eukaryota, Metazoa, Chordata, Actinopteri, Cichliformes, Cichlidae. The record is from Ensembl.
UGGGAGUGUCCACCAUCGGGAGAAAUGAACGGUCAUCAACACAAUCCUCUGAGCGCUCAUCAUGUGAUCUUUCUAAAUGUCCACGGAAACAGUUGACUGAAGUUUGACAGCUCUUCUGCCAGUUUUAAUUUGGAAAAACGUACCCAGAGGAAGCAGUGCUGGAUACUUGCCUGGAUUACUGAGUCUUUUUCUGUGGCAAUAGAAUAGAUCUAUUGCACAUGACCACAUUUGAAGGUAUGUCUUAUCACCAAGUACACUCCUGCUGCAAUGAAUGCCCUUUUUGUCAGGAUUGACAUUGUUGGAUCUUUUCACUUAUCUAUCUCUAUCCCCAGUUAAAUUAAGGAAUAAACUAAUGCAUUCAACCUAGUUUAUGGUAAUGAGUGUGAAUAAGAGUAUUCAAGAGUAUUUCUGAGGCCUCAAAACAGCUGAUCAUGCUGGAACUCACAGUGCCCUGGGAAGAGUGGAUUGAGGAGGCCAAUGAAAGGAAACGACGACUUGGAAGACUUUCUAUGAGCCCAUAGAAGUGGGUUGUAGGGGUUUGCCAGACGAUCACUCUGCAAAGUCCUAGGCCGGCUGGGCGUGGCUGGGGCAGCCAAGAAGAGGGCCAUCCAGGCUGUGAGUGAAGCGGCAGAGAAAGCCACAAGGUAGCUGUGGAUCAAGAGGGCUGAUCCGUGGGUAGCUACGUACCGCAAGUCGGGGCCUGAUCACCCCCGGCUGGGUAUGAUGUUGUGAGACCCGAAACACCUGAUGACCCCAGGAUACAUCACUGAAGAUGCGUACCAGUGCAUCCAGGAGAUGUGUCUUUUAUACUAGUAAGACACAGCUCCAAAAGGACUUGCUGACAUGCUCCAAACAGGAACGCUGCUUGCAUAUUUCUGGUGUAGGAACUUGUGGGUCGUUUCAGGGCACCUUGAAACAACAACUGGUUGAAACAACAACAGCUGGUUUCAGUGGUUAAAAAAUGAAUCAUAGCAGCAUUGGUUUAAACUCUCUAAAGUCAAUUAACCACCUUUUCUUUCCUGAAAAACGCUAAUUUAGGAGAAGUGGAACGAUGUUCCCUCUGUUGUGGUUUCAUUCAUCCUCGAGCUGCCUCGUGCCUGCCGCUUGUUCCUGCAGUGAAAACGUACCUCAUGUAGAUGAUGUGCCCAUGCAGCACUGUAUGUACACAGAGUGAUGGGCGAAUGUUGGCUGACCCACUUCAAAGAGAACACUUUGCCCUCAGCCUGGAGGACUCAGAUGCCUUUGUACUUUUAUUGUAGAUGUAGGACGUUGUCACAUAUCUGUGUCGAAUAUUUGUCUUCACACGAGUCUUGUAAGCGAUUCAGAGUAAUAAUGUGUGGUCAAAGAGCUUCUGUUUCUCAUAUCAGAUGAAAUUUAUGCUUUAAUCUGUUGGAUAUGUUGUUAUUUAGAUAAAUAUAGUAUUCAAUACCUCUAUGAGCAGGUAGCUCCUCUGAACUGAAGCAGCAGAUACGAAAACCAAGAGCAACAACAGGAGUGAACCAAGAUACUGGUUUAAAACUAAAUAGCAGCGUUUUAAUGUGUUGUUUCUGCAAGAAGCGGUUAAGGAGCUUCCUUUCGUUACUGAACUGUUCACCACCACCUACUCUUGAACAAUGAGCUUUCUUCUCAGAUGCUGCAGGUCUAAAAGCUGGACUAGCAUGCAGUGAGUCACAGUGUCACUAAUGGAGCAUUUCAAAGGGUUUUCUGGGCCGGUUUGCUCUGCUGACUUGUUAAAUGAUACAUACAUAGCUGUGCUGACUCAAAGGAUCAUUUUUCUGUUUGUCUGCAAAGUAGCUCGUCCUCAAUCACUUUAAGCCUUGGAUGUUUUCUUUAUGGCUCGAUGAAACAGACGGUACAUUGUGUCUCGCAAAACAGACUGUCUGACGGCUCAUCAUAAAGUUCCUGCUGCAAAAUAAACCGCAUCACAGCCUUAGUGACAUGCAGCGUCGACUGUAAUGUUCCCUUGGUUAUCAUGCUUUGAAAGAUGUAUUAAAGGCGUAACGUAACAAGUGAAUAUUUGAUUUAGAAAACAUCAAACCCUCUAAUUGGUAAUCCUCUGCUGUCCAUAAGCACUCUGAUUAGGGACAGGCGCGAUCUCACAUACUUGAAGCAUGCAGAAGCACGGCUUGAGACCAGUUAAAUUGCCUGUUAGUGAUAUAAGAAAUCAGCAUGCUUGAAAAUUGUACUUAAAAAUAAUUGAGUUUAAUUAUUGUCAAAACAUGCCCAUGAAUUCAAACAAAGAAGACUGUGUAGCGCUAACUCUGCUGUUUGGUUUGGAGCUUGUAGGACAAAUGAUUUGAAAAGUGUUUAAGUAGGAAUCUCUCAGGCUUACAUCCUCCCGUCUCGUAUGUGUUGCAGAUGAGCUGUGCAGUGACAGCUCCUUGGAGCAGUUCUAAGCUGCGUUCAUGUUUUCAUAUUCAUGAGCUGUUGUCUUGUCUUGCUGUUGUAGUGUAUAUCUAGUAGUUGUUAUUCAACAGUAACAAUGCGUAUUAAACAUAAACUUAGUGUCAGGGACUAAAGGUUUUAACCAAAGGUCCACUAGGCUGUUGACGCUUUCCGGUGGGCAACAUGUUGGAUGCUGAUAAGUUGUUUAUUGCAGUGCUGGUUUACAUAUCCAUCAUUCCACUCAUUAGUGAUUGAGUGGCUUUUGUUCAGCUCUGUUUUUCUCUUUUUCCUGUUAUUUGAAUAUUGUAAUUUAUGUUUUUUAUUUUGUCUGCGCUUCUGCUUCGUUUAGCCAGUCCUGAUUCGUGAGUCAGAAGAGGAGAGGCUGGGCUGAUGGUAAGCUCUCUUACAAACUAUCUAACCUUCUCUAUUGCUCUCAUCCUCACUCUGUCGUUUCAUGUUGAUAAACCCAAAGAGCUGUGUUCAGCACAAACUGACAUUUAAAAGCCGAGCACUUGGAGUGGCCCUCUAUAUUACAGGAUGUAGCCUUCUCAUGAAAUGAGAAGCAAAGUGGGGAGGCCGCUGUGGAUCGUGGAGCACCUUACUCAGUUGAGAAAUAGAUUGUAGUCACUCUCCAUUUAGAUCUUCAUUUAUGUUUAUUUUACGUUUAGUUUGUUGUGGUCUCUUUGUUAGCAUCUGAAC